Long non-coding RNA from Grus americana (Whooping crane), 785 nucleotides. RefSeq lists it as uncharacterized. NCBI's taxonomy places the organism in Eukaryota, Metazoa, Chordata, Aves, Gruiformes, Gruidae. The transcript has 3 exons. The record is from RefSeq and is a predicted model, not a curated record.
CAGACAGUAUAUUACUACUUUUUGUAACAAGUACUGAUGUUUUGCUUCCAUGAGCGUCCACAUCUUUUUAAGUCACAAGUAAGAAGUGUGCUGUAAUAAGCAAAUAUAAAGUCAGAUGCUUUUGACCAUAUAAAGCCACAAGGAAGAAGAAAAGAGGAGGUAUGUGAAAUUCAUGACAUCUGGGAAACACUUUGUAUAUGGAGUUUGAAGACAAUAUACAUUGCCAGCCUGGCAGAACAGACAUAGACGUCCCAAACAGAAGCCUGAGAAAAUAGAAAAUCAGAAGUCCCUAUGGCACCACAAAUACCUUGCAACAUGAGAUGUCAGCCAUCCCAAGAAAAGUCCAGCCCAUCACAAGAUCAAAGAAAUUUGUUUCAAACUUUCUUGCCCAGAAAGGAAGGACGGAUGUAUACAAUUCCUCAGUCUUCAAAAAUCAAGAUUCUUGGGAACAGCAAGCCCACACACCCAGAAGAAGUCACUGUUGCCACUACUCUACUGAAGGAUGUGAUGACCAUCUUUUCCCCAUGAGAAGAAAAGGCUGUGGGUCUCGUCUAACCAAAACCAACUGUGACACAGGCUGACCUCCCUCUCUGCAAGAAUAAAAAUAACUCAGAAGAUUAUAUGUAUCAGUAUUAUGUGGUGGCAUCCACCAUAACAAUAUUAUAUAUCAUGUUCCCUUCAUCAUCCCUCUUAUGGUUUUGCUGUCUCUGUAUCACUCCCUCUUGAAUGGGUUACCGGGGAAAAUGUUGCUUCUCAUCAGUGUUUUUCAAGUUCUUCUACUAUAA